GACGAACGCUGGCGGCGUGCUUAACACAUGCAAGUCGAACGGAAAGGCCCUGCUUUUGUGGGGUGCUCGAGUGGCGAACGGGUGAGUAACACGUGAGUAACCUGCCCUUGACUUUGGGAUAACUUCAGGAAACUGGGGCUAAUACCGGAUAGGAGCUCCUGCUGCAUGGUGGGGGUUGGAAAGUUUCGGCGGUUGGGGAUGGACUCGCGGCUUAUCAGCUUGUUGGUGGGGUAGUGGCUUACCAAGGCUUUGACGGGUAGCCGGCCUGAGAGGGUGACCGGCCACAUUGGGACUGAGGUACGGCCCAGACUCCUACGGGAGGCAGCAGUGGGGAAUAUUGCACAAUGGGCGGAAGCCUGAUGCAGCAACGCCGCGUGCGGGAUGACUGCCUUCGGGUUGUAAACCGCUUUCGCCUGUAACGAAGCGUGAGUGACGGUAAUGGGUAAAGAAGCACCGGCUAACUACGUG
RNAcentral lists this ribosomal RNA (468 nucleotides) under uncultured bacterium. RNAcentral's name for it is "partial 16S ribosomal RNA". It matches the Rfam family "Bacterial small subunit ribosomal RNA", at positions 28 to 507 of the family's 1533-position model. The record is from RNAcentral.